ACCACCGUGGGUCCUCCAAGUAGCUGUGGGUGACAGGGACCACCACGUCACCUCCUCAUCACCACCUCCAUGUGUCGGAACCAUAACUCACGUACGAGUGACAGGGACCACCGUGUCACCACCUCAAUGUCAUCUCCAUCUGUUGGGACCACAGUGUGACCACCACAACCAUGUGUGGGUGACAGGGACCACCGUGUCACCUCAUCAAUGUCAUCUCUAUCUGCUGGGACCACCAUGUAACCUCCUGAUGACCAUCUAUGUUAGGACCACAGUGUGGCUCCCACAACCGGUGACGGGGACCACGGUGUCACCUCCUCAGUGUCAUCUCUGUGUGUUGGGACCACAGUGGGACCUCCACAACCAUUUGUGGGUGACAGAGACCACCAUGUCACCUCCUGAUCGCCACCUCCGUGUGUUGGGACCACAGUGUGACCACCACGACCAUGUGUGGGUGACGGGGACCACCGUGUCACCUCGUCAAUGCCAUCUCUAUCUGCUGGGACCACCGUGUCACCUCCUGGAUGCCAUCUCCAUCUGUUGGGACCUCCACCACUGCCUACAAGCAACAGGGACCGCAGUGUCACCUCCACAACCAUUUGUGGGUGACGUGGACCCCCAUGUCACCUCCUCAAUGCCAUCUCCAUCUGUUGGGACCACAGUGGGACCAUGACAACCAUUUGUGGGUGACGAGGAUCCCCGUGUCCCCUCCUCAAUGCCAUCUCCAUCUUUUGGGACCAGUGUGACCUCCACAACCAUUUGUGGGUGACAGGGACCCCCGUGUCACCUCUUGUUCCCCAUCUCCAUGCGUUGGGGCCACCGUGUGACCUCCACAACCAUUUGUGGGUGACGGGGACCCCCAUGUCCCCUCC
This 869-nucleotide long non-coding RNA is filed under the name Numida meleagris (helmeted guineafowl). RNAcentral's name for it is "lncRNA (ENSNMEG00000003067.1)". The record is from RNAcentral. Lineage: Eukaryota; Metazoa; Chordata; Aves; Galliformes; Numididae.